RNAcentral lists this transfer RNA (38 nucleotides) under Castanea sativa (European chestnut). Its description in RNAcentral is "partial tRNA-Gly". RNAcentral also lists the same sequence under 4 other names. Lineage: Eukaryota; Viridiplantae; Streptophyta; Magnoliopsida; Fagales; Fagaceae. The record is from RNAcentral.
GCGGAUAUAGUUGAGUGGUAAAAUUUCUCUUUGCCGAG